GUUUUUUUGGGGGGGAGAAAACAACUUUCUUGGAACCAUGUUUGUCUUUGGAGAUUUCGGAUGAAUGAAAUUUGUUACACUGUUACGCUCUGAUUCCAUUGUGCAAGGUUGAUUUCAUUUCCAAUUGCAAAAGCAUUUUACAUUGAAUUUUGGAGUGAUGGUGUCACGGCUGCAGCACAUCUUGGGUGGUGCAGAUUUCAUUUGGAAGUAGUUG
Molecule: long non-coding RNA, 214 nt
Filed under: Vigna radiata
Lineage: Eukaryota; Viridiplantae; Streptophyta; Magnoliopsida; Fabales; Fabaceae
Description: long non-coding RNA (VRAD_LNC004855)
Source: RNAcentral